Diabrotica virgifera virgifera (western corn rootworm) is the source of this 1221-nucleotide long non-coding RNA. RefSeq lists it as uncharacterized. The transcript is spliced from 3 exons. NCBI's taxonomy places the organism in Eukaryota, Metazoa, Arthropoda, Insecta, Coleoptera, Chrysomelidae. The record is from RefSeq and is a predicted model, not a curated record.
UAAUUGUAUGCUGACUAUAUUAUUAUUUCGUAAAAAGACAUCUGGUAACGGCGACAGUUCGUAACGAUACAUUUACAUAUUCGUAACAGUACAAUUUGUAACGCUGAAAUGAAAUAAUUAUUCUUGCGAUUUCGUUCGUUGUAAUCCGUGACUGCUCUCGGUGUAUAAUCCUGGUUCAUGUAUCCCCUGAUAAGUGGCUAAGAAGCCCCAGGGGCGUUAUUUCAUAGGGUCAGGGGGAAAUGUACCGCGUGAGCAGAUGGGAUCUGAAUUAUAAAAUUCCCUCAACUUCCGCAUGGCUUGCAUUUUUAGAAACUUUCUUCUUCUUAAGGUGCCGAGAACGUUUGUCGAUCGUUGGCUCUCAUGUUGCCCACCAUAUUAACAAUCAUUGUGUUAUUUACAGCCGCACGAAAUACAAGAAUCUACAGGUCGAGCAAGUCUCGUAAAUUUCACGAUUGCGAGCCACGCUUCACGCAACCGUGUUUGCGUACUUGUGUUUCGAGUUGCGUGGUCGUGCGGAGUUAUAUUUACCAAAUUUGAAUAUAAUCGUUUCUACUGAUUCAUAAUAAUAUAUGUCAAUAUGGCUACUGGGUGUAAAAUAUAAAUCUUAUUCUAUCUGUUCUUAAUGAGUUUUAGAUAAUUUUAGUUGUAUUUCUUUGUAAUUUUGUGUUGUACAAAGAUUAAUUUAACAUUUUCUCCGGAAGUAUUAAUUUAGAAAGAUAAUAUGCUUCAUUGGUGUUGUGUUUUGAAGUGUGAAAUGCAAAGUAAUUGUGAUAAAGUCAAGAUAAAGUUCACUUUUAAACUGAACUAAAUAAGGUAUCUGAGAGACAACAAUGGUUAAAUGCAAUACAAUGUACAGGUUUUACUAGCGAAAUGAAAAUUUUCCUGUCCUGUCUGCUGUAAUCAUUUUAUAUCUGGAAAACCAGCCGACUUAAUCGAUAAUAACAAUCUCCAGAUUGGGUUCCUUCAAUAAAUAUGGGCUAUAAACACAAUGAAAUAAGUUCCCCAAAAUCUAAAAUGGAGUGGUAUUAAAGGAGAAUUAAAGGAAAAAAUAUUCAUAUUGAAAUUAUUUAUAAGGCACUGGACUGUCUUAAAUUCUACAAUAAUACUAGAAUCACCUGAGAGAAGUGGUCUACAAAAAACCAGGAAGGAAACGGAAUAUGUGGCUACGAAAGGCAAAAGAAAGGUUUACAAAGCAAAUGUGACACAUUUUUUUGAAAUAUU